Molecule: ribosomal RNA, 117 nt
Filed under: Nitrosarchaeum sp.
Lineage: Archaea; Thermoproteati; Nitrososphaerota; Nitrososphaeria; Nitrosopumilales; Nitrosopumilaceae
Source: RNAcentral
UCGGACGGCCAUAGUGGUCAGGUUCCACCCGUUCCCUUUUCGAACACGGAAGUUAAGCUGACCGACGUCUUGGGUUGUACUGCGUUCAUGCGCGGGAAGCCCAAGUCGCUGUCCUCU